Molecule: transfer RNA, 113 nt
Rfam family: tRNA
About the family: Transfer RNA (tRNA) molecules are approximately 80 nucleotides in length. Their secondary structure includes four short double-helical elements and three loops (D, anti-codon, and T loops). Further hydrogen bonds mediate the characteristic L-shaped molecular structure. tRNAs have two regions of fundamental functional importance: the anti-codon, which is responsible for specific mRNA codon recognition, and the 3' end, to which the tRNAs corresponding amino acid is attached (by aminoacyl-tRNA synthetases). tRNAs cope with the degeneracy of the genetic code in two manners: having more than one tRNA (with a specific anti-codon) for a particular amino acid; and 'wobble' base-pairing, i.e. permitting non-standard base-pairing at the 3rd anti-codon position.
Source: Rfam
AGCAACAUGGCGCAGGGGUAGCGCGCGGGGCUCAUAUGCAUCUGAUCGAUCGGCGAUCGAUCGAUCGAUCAAUUGAAACCCCGAGGUCACUGGAUCGAAACCAGUUGUUGCUA